UGCAAGAUAUAGAAUUUAAUCUAACAUCCAUACUAUUGGUUGAACAUAGGCGUUUAAAGAUAUCAUCAUAAAAAAAUAGUACCUUGAGAGUUUAAUGUGUACCUUAACCUUGGAGCUUUUUCAUUACGAGUGAUUUUUGGUUUGUCUACUGGAGUUGAAAGCAGAUCGAUCUCAACAAUUGGAGGUGGUUCUUCAGCAUCAUCUUGCAAUCCCUCUAGCUCUCCAUCAUGUGGAACAUGCAAUCCAUUAGCAAUAUUAAUAGUCACCUCUUAUUCGAAGUCCUCAUUAUUUGAGAUCUCACCC
RNAcentral lists this long non-coding RNA (303 nucleotides) under Setaria viridis. Its description in RNAcentral is "long non-coding RNA (SVIR_LNC009458)". Lineage: Eukaryota; Viridiplantae; Streptophyta; Magnoliopsida; Poales; Poaceae. The record is from RNAcentral.